RNAcentral lists this ribosomal RNA (467 nucleotides) under uncultured bacterium. RNAcentral describes it as "partial 16S ribosomal RNA". It matches the Rfam family "Bacterial small subunit ribosomal RNA", at positions 28 to 506 of the family's 1533-position model. The record is from RNAcentral.
GACGAACGCUGGCGGCGUGCUUAACACAUGCAAGUCGAACGGAAAGGCCCUGCUUUUGUGGGGUGCUCGAGUGACGAACGGGUGAGUAACACGUGAGUAACCUGCCCUUGACUUUGGGAUAACUUCAGGAAACUGGGGCUAAUACCGGAUAGGAGCUCCUGCUGCAUGGUGGGGGUUGGAAAGUUUCGGCGGUUGGGGAUGGACUCGCGGCUUAUCAGCUUGUUGGUGGGGUAGUGGCUUACCAAGGCUUUGACGGGUAGCCGGCCUGAGAGGGUGACCGGCCACAUUGGGACUGAGAUACGGCCCAGGCUCCUACGGGAGGCAGCAGUGGGGAAUAUUGCACAAUGGGCGGAAGCCUGAUGCAGCAACGCCGCGUGCGGGAUGACGGCCUUCGGGUUGUAAACCGCUUUCGCCUGUGACGAAGCGUGAGUGACGGUAAUGGGUAAAGAAGCACCGGCUAACUACGU